GACGUAGGGCGCGAGCGUUGUCCGGAUUUAUUGGGCGUAAAGAGCUUGUAGGCGGUGUGUCACGUCGGCCGUGAAAACCUGCAGCUUAACUGUGGGCGUGCGGUCGAUACGGGCAUCACUGGAGUUCGGCAGGGGAGACUGGAAUUCCUGGUGUAGCGGUGAAAUGCGCAGAUAUCAGGAGGAACACCGGUGGCGAAGGCGGGUCUCUGGGCCGAUACUGACGCUGAGGAGCGAAAGCGUGGGGAGCAAACAGG
Molecule: ribosomal RNA, 254 nt
Filed under: uncultured bacterium
Lineage: Bacteria
Description: partial 16S ribosomal RNA
Rfam family: Bacterial small subunit ribosomal RNA
Source: RNAcentral